This 520-nucleotide ribosomal RNA is filed under the name uncultured Glomus. RNAcentral describes it as "SSU rRNA". It matches the Rfam family "Eukaryotic small subunit ribosomal RNA", at positions 569 to 1092 of the family's 1831-position model. Lineage: Eukaryota; Fungi; Glomeromycota; Glomeromycetes; Glomerales; Glomeraceae. The record is from RNAcentral.
AGCAGCCGCGGUAAUUCCAGCUCCAAUAGCGUAUAUUAAAGUUGUUGCAGUUAAAAAGCUCGUAGUUGAAUUUCGGGAUCAAUACGUCGGUCGUGCUUCGGUACGUACUGGCGUCAUUGGUUUCUCCCUUCUGACGAACCACGAUGUCAUUAACUUGGUGUCAUGGGAAAUCAGGACUGUUACUUUGAAAAAAUUAGAGUGUUUAAAGCAGGCUCACGCUUGAAUACAUUAGCAUGGAAUAAUGAAAUAGGACGUUCGAUCCUAUUUUGUUGGUUUCUAGGAUCAACGUAAUGAUUAAUAGGGAUAGUUGGGGGCAUUAGUAUUCAAUUGUCAGAGGUGAAAUUCUUGGAUUUAUUGAAGACUAACUACUGCGAAAGCAUUUGCCAAGGAUGUUUUCAUUAAUCAAGAACGAAAGUUAGGGGAUCGAAGACGAUCAGAUACCGUCGUAGUCUUAACCAUAAACUAUGCCGACUAGGGAUCGGAUGAUGUUAAUUUUUAAUGACUCAUUCGGCGCCUUAAC